UAAGGCCGAGAGCUGAUGACGAGUUACCCUUUGGGUGACGAAGUGGUUGAUGCCAUGCUUCCAAGAAAAGCUUCUAAGCUUCAGGUAACCAGGAACCGUACCCCAAACCGACACAGGUGGUUGGGUAGAGAAUACCAAGGCGCUUGAGAGAACUCGGGUGAAGGAACUAGGCAAAAUGGCACCGUAACUUCGGGAGAAGGUGCGCCGGUGAGGGUGAAGCACUUGCUGCGUAAGCCCACGCCGGUCGAAGAUACCAGGCCGCUGCGACUGUUUAUUAAAAACACAGCACUCUGCAAACACGAAAGUGGACGUAUAGGGUGUGACGCCUGCCCGGUGCCGGAAGGUUAAUUGAUGGGGUUAGCUAACGCGAAGCUCUUGAUCGAAGCCCCGGUAAACGGCGGCCGUAACUAUAACGGUCCUAAGGUAGCGAAAUUCCUUGUCGGGUAAGUUCCGACCUGCACGAAUGGCGUAACGAUGGCGGCGCUGUCUCCACCCGAGACUCAGUGAAAUUGAAAUCGCUGUGAAGAUGCAGUGUAUCCGCGGCUAGACGGAAAGACCCCGUGAACCUUUACUAUAGCUUUGCACUGGACUUUGAAUUUGCUUGUGUAGGAUAGGUGGGAGGCUUUGAAGCGUGGACGCCAGUUCGCGUGGAGCCAUCCUUGAAAUACCACCCUGGCAACUUUGAGGUUCUAACUCAGGUCCGUUAUCCGGAUCGAGGACAGUGUAUGGUGGGUAGUUUGACUGGGGCGGUCUCCUCCUAAAGAGUAACGGAGGAGUACGAAGGUGCGCUCAGACCGGUCGGAAAUCGGUCGUAGAGUAUAAAGGCAAAAGCGCGCUUGACUGCGAGACAGACACGUCGAGCAGGUACGAAAGUAGGUCUUAGUGAUCCGGUGGUUCUGUAUGGAAGGGCCAUCGCUCAACGGAUAAAAGGUACUCCGGGGAUAACAGGCUGAUACCGCCCAAGAGUUCAUAUCGACGGCGGUGUUUGGCACCUCGAUGUCGGCUCAUCACAUCCUGGGGCUGAAGCCGGUCCCAAGGGUAUGGCUGUUCGCCAUUUAAAGUGGUACGCGAGCUGGGUUUAGAACGUCGUGAGACAGUUCGGUCCCUAUCUGCCGUGGACGUUUGAGAUUUGAGAGGGGCUGCUCCUAGUACGAGAGGACCGGAGUGGACGAACCUCUGGUGUUCCGGUUGUCACGCCAGUGGCAUUGCCGGGUAGCUAUGUUCGGAAAAGAUAACCGCUGAAAGCAUCUAAGCGGGAAACUUGCCUCAAGAUGAGAUCUCACUGGGACCUUGAGUCCCCUGAAGGGCCGUCGAAGACUACGACGUUGAUAGGCAGGGUGUGUAAGCGCUGUGAGGCGUUGAGCUAACCUGUACUAAUUGCCCGUGAGGCUUGACCAU
Molecule: ribosomal RNA, 1398 nt
Filed under: Pseudomonas sp. NFACC46-3
Lineage: Bacteria; Pseudomonadati; Pseudomonadota; Gammaproteobacteria; Pseudomonadales; Pseudomonadaceae
Also listed under: 3 other names
Description: bacterial LSU rRNA
Rfam family: Bacterial large subunit ribosomal RNA
Source: RNAcentral